AUGAGCAAUGUGCCUUUCACUAAGCGGGCUUUGAGGGGUUGGUCUGGUAAGGACAGCCGGGAUCCGGUGGAUAAUGAUGUCCGAAAUACGAUGGAGAUUUAUAUUGUGGUCAACUGGAGCAAGCAGGAUGCAAUACCAUUACUUCGGAGAAACAAAAGCACGACAUGUCCACGGAGGGCUGACCUCCCUCGAAGAAAAGGAAAGAAGCGAAAUGCUCAAUCUGUGGAGUGGGAAAGCAUUGGAAGAAUACCUAAAACAAUCCUAAGAUUAUGUUACAUCUUGCCGAGAAAGCUGCCCAUGAACGGGCUGUAG
Molecule: ribosomal RNA, 312 nt
Filed under: Triticum aestivum (bread wheat)
Lineage: Eukaryota; Viridiplantae; Streptophyta; Magnoliopsida; Poales; Poaceae
Description: partial small subunit ribosomal RNA
Source: RNAcentral